Molecule: long non-coding RNA, 968 nt
Organism: Toxorhynchites rutilus septentrionalis
Lineage: Eukaryota; Metazoa; Arthropoda; Insecta; Diptera; Culicidae
Exons: 3
Source: RefSeq, a predicted model, not a curated record
CCGUAAACUCCUUCUUACACUGGAGAAAUAGUUUAGUAAAAGCAGCUACCAAAUCUUUAGUAGCAAAAACAUUGGUAAAAUAUACACAUUUUUUGUAAAUAUUACUAAAAUUGCGUAAAAAAGAUGUCAGACGCAAUGAAUGUUCCUACCAGGAAUUCGUAUAUUUUACUUCAUGCCAUUAGUAAGUUUGUUUUUAUUGUCAUACUUAACAACUGUGAUGCGCGCACUUUGUCUUUUGUCUUUUGGAGACGAAGCGAUUUGGAGUUGGCCUUAAAAUUAUAUGCAGUACAAUCAUUCAUCAUAAACAAAUCGGAGAUAAGUAUUCAUUUUUUUUUUUACAUCAUUACAUCAGUCACCUCGGUCGGGAAACUAUUUUCAUAUUCCCGCCAAGGAUAAACAUCAGUUAUAUUUUAUAUAUUACAACACUAUUGACCUUUUUCCUUGUCUUUACAGCUGGCAUGAUCCCAGACUCGUAAUACUUGUUUACCAAAAACCAUCCAAGCUAUGGGAUUGAAGGUAACGGCGAGUUUGUCGCUAAGAUUGGAAGCUUUCUUCAACACAUCAUCGACCGUAAAAAACCGUAAAAAAGGGGGACACGAGAGAACAAAAUACGGAUGAAACGUGCUAAUUCUACCGUCACUCUGCUAAUCAGCUAAUGCAAAUCAGAGCGAUGCAGCAGGAAGAGGAACGGGAACUUGCUUUGGAAAUGCUCAUCAAAUUGAGGUGUUGAGACUGCGAUUAAAAUUUGCCUCUUGUACGCAGUUUAUAGAAUGAUUCCAACGAGAAUUGUUGAUGUUGUUUAUAGAAUAAGUUGUAACCCGACACGCCUUCUAGGCGUGUGAGUCCUUCCUAACCGGGACUCUGCGCAGUCAAGCAGUUGGCUAAAGCGCCACUCCCGUAAGGGAGGCCAACCGCCGUGUUUUUGGUUGCCCGGCCAAUGAGAAUCGAACUCCCAGGGCGGGUUUUUC